Molecule: non-coding RNA, 161 nt
Organism: Solanum lycopersicum (tomato)
Lineage: Eukaryota; Viridiplantae; Streptophyta; Magnoliopsida; Solanales; Solanaceae
Source: Rfam
AUACUUACCUGGACGGGGUCAAUGGGCGAUCAAUAAGAUCCAUGGCCUAGGUUUGUGGCCUCCAUUGCACUUUGGAGGGGUGCCUACCUAAGGUCGGCUCAAGUGGUCGAGCCUACGUCAUAAUUUGUUGCAGCGGGGGCCUGCGUUCGCGCGGCCCCUAC